This 498-nucleotide ribosomal RNA is filed under the name uncultured bacterium. RNAcentral's name for it is "partial 16S ribosomal RNA". It matches the Rfam family "Bacterial small subunit ribosomal RNA", at positions 29 to 523 of the family's 1533-position model. The record is from RNAcentral.
AUUGAACGCUGGCGGCAUGCCUUACACAUGCAAGUCGAACGGUAACGCGGGGCAACCUGGCGACGAGUGGCGAACGGGUGAGUAAAGCAUCGGAACGUGCCCAGUAGUGGGGGAUAGACCGGCGAAAGCCGGAUUAAUACCGCAUCCGACCUAAGGGGGAACGGGGGGGAUCGCAAGACCUCUCCAUACUGGAGCGGCCGAAGUCAGAUUAGGUAGUUGGUGGGGUAAAGGCCUAACAAGCCGACGAUCUGUAGCUGGUCUGAGAGGACGACCAGCGACAGUGGGACUGAGACACGGCACAGACUCCUACGGGAGGCAGCAGUGGGGAAUUUUGGACAAUGGGCGCAAGCCUGAUCCAGCCAUGCCGCGUGCGGGAAGAAGGCCUUCGGGUUGUAAACCGCUUUUGUCAGGGAAGAAAUCCUUUGGGUUAAUACCUCGGGGGGAUGACGGUACCUGAAGAAUAAGCACCGGCUAACUACGUGCCAGCAGCCGCCGUAA